AUUGAACGCUGGCGGCAUGCUUUACACAUGCAAGUCGAGCGGCAGCACGGGGGCAACCCUGGUGGCGAGCGGCGAACGGGUGAGUAAUACAUCGGAACAUGCCCAGUCGUGGGGGAUAACACUUCGAAAGAAGUGCUAAUACCGCAUACGUCCUGAGGGAGAAAGCGGGGGAUCGCAAGACCUCGCGCGAUUGGAGUGGCCGAUGUCAGAUUAGCUAGUUGGUGGGGUAAAGGCCUACCAAGGCAACGAUCUGUAGCUGGUCUGAGAGGAUGAUCAGCCACACUGGGACUGAGACACGGCCCAGACUCCUACGGGAGGCAGCAGUGGGGAAUUUUGGACAAUGGGGGCAACCCUGAUCCAGCCAUUCCGCGUGAGUGAAGAAGGCCUUCGGGUUGUAAAGCUCUUUCGGCAGGAACGAAACGGUGAGCUCUAACAUAGCUUGCUAAUGACGGUACCUGAAGAAGAAGCACCGGCUAACUACGUG
Molecule: ribosomal RNA, 484 nt
Filed under: uncultured bacterium
Lineage: Bacteria
Description: partial 16S ribosomal RNA
Rfam family: Bacterial small subunit ribosomal RNA
Source: RNAcentral